RNAcentral lists this ribosomal RNA (487 nucleotides) under uncultured Arthrobacter sp. RNAcentral describes it as "partial 16S ribosomal RNA". The record is from RNAcentral. Lineage: Bacteria; Bacillati; Actinomycetota; Actinomycetes; Micrococcales; Micrococcaceae.
CGCGUAGUUAGCCGGCGCUUCUUCUGCAGGUACCGUCACCUUACGGCUUCUUCCCUACUGAAAGAGGUUUACAACCCGAAGGCCGUCAUCCCUCACGCGGCGUCGCUGCAUCAGGCUUGCGCCCAUUGUGCAAUAUUCCCCACUGCUGCCUCCCGUAGGAGUCUGGGCCGUGUCUCAGUCCCAGUGUGGCCGGUCACCCUCUCAGGCCGGCUACCCGUCGUCGCCUUGGUAGGCCAUUACCCCACCAACAAGCUGAUAGGCCGCGAGUCCAUCCAAAACCACAAAAGCUUUCCACCACCAUGACAUGCGCCAGAUGGUCGUAUCCGGUAUUAGACCCAGUUUCCCAGGCUUAUCCCAGAGUCAAGGGCAGGUUACUCACGUGUUACUCACCCGUUCGCCACUAAUCCCCCAGCAAGCUGGGAUCAUCGUUCGACUUGCAUGUGUUAAGCACGCCGCCAGCGUUCAUCCUGAGCCAGGAUCAAACUCU